RNAcentral lists this ribosomal RNA (497 nucleotides) under uncultured bacterium. Its description in RNAcentral is "partial 16S ribosomal RNA". It matches the Rfam family "Bacterial small subunit ribosomal RNA", at positions 28 to 507 of the family's 1533-position model. The record is from RNAcentral.
GAUGAACGCUGGCGGCGUGCCUAAUACAUGCAAGUCGAGCGAACAGACGAGGAGCUUGCUCCUCUGACGUUAGCGGCGGACGGGUGAGUAACACGUGGAUAACCUACCUAUAAGACUGGGAUAACUUCGGGAAACCGGAGCUAAUACCGGAUAAUAUAUUGAACCGCAUGGUUCAAUAGUGAAAGACGGUUUUGCUGUCACUUAUAGAUGGAUCCGCGCCGCAUUAGCUAGUUGGUAAGGUAACGGCUUACCAAGGCGACGAUGCGUAGCCGACCUGAGAGGGUGGUCGGCCACACUGGAACUGGGACACGGUCCAGACUCCUAAGGGAGGCAGCAGUAGGGAAUCUUCCGCAAUAGGCGAAAGCCUGACGGAGCAACGCCGCGUGAGUGAUGAAGGUCUUCGGAUCGUAAAACUCUGUUAUUAGGGAAGAACAAAUGUGUAAGUAACUAUGCACGUCUUGACGGUACCUAAUCAGAAAGCCACGGCUAACUACGUG